UUCAGAGAGCCUAAGCAAUUUGCUGAAAGUCACCUAAUAAGUGAGUAGAGGAAUUUGGAAGACCAAAACCAUUGAGAAAAGGGUGACCAAAAUGGAGCAGAGCCAAGAGUUACCAUAGAUAUUUUCAAGUACGGAGAAUUUUUUGCAGAUGUGUCAUUAGCUGUCUACGCAUUUUGGAUAUACCUUUACUUUGAUGAAUUCACUUUGAUGAAU
This 213-nucleotide long non-coding RNA is filed under the name Ictidomys tridecemlineatus (thirteen-lined ground squirrel). Its description in RNAcentral is "lncRNA (ENSSTOG00000032061.1)". The record is from RNAcentral. Lineage: Eukaryota; Metazoa; Chordata; Mammalia; Rodentia; Sciuridae.